Molecule: long non-coding RNA, 713 nt
Organism: Lytechinus variegatus (green sea urchin)
Lineage: Eukaryota; Metazoa; Echinodermata; Echinoidea; Temnopleuroida; Toxopneustidae
Exons: 4
Source: RefSeq, a predicted model, not a curated record
CGAAAGAGGUUUAAACCCCGAGGGGGUUUAAAUGCGUCAUAAAACGUCAUGAAACGUCAUAUUUUUUAGUCUGCUCUUAGAUGUGGUUUAAACCAUGGUUUAAUUUUAUGAGCAUGCGCACUUGAGGAGUUUGUGAAAAAUCCGUGAAGCGAAGAAAAUUUUUCUUGCGGUCCUGGACCUGACAAGUGGUCUUCUUGAUUAGAAAUUCAAUUACAUCGGCAUCAGAGGUACCAUACAGUGUAGGUCUCUAUGGAUUAUCUCCAUCUUCUUCACAGCUUUAAAUUACUAAGAGCUACCUUUUCCAAGACAUUGUGGGCUACAUGAUGCUAAAAAUCCAUCGAAAUCGUACAAGGAUGGGCCAUCUCGAGAUCAGUAUCGACUGUCAAAAGAAACCGUCACCAAUAUGCUGGAAGCCGAAAUGAAGAGGGACACACAGCUCAGAGGAUAGAUCAACUUCCUGUUUAUUUGCAGGUGUUGACAACUCUCCAUUUUUAUGCAGUGGGAUCAUUUUAAAAGAUGCAUGGUGAUGAGGCAGCAAUAUAGCAGUCAUCAAUGUGUCAGAAGCUAAAGCAAGAAGGAAGAGGCAAUACAUGAAGAUUCCUACAAGAGAAGAAGUUGAAGCAACUCGGAGACAGUUCUAUCUAACUGUUAGAUUUCCAGGAGUGAAAGGUGCAAUUGAUGGGACACAUGUCUACAUCAAGAGCCGGGGGGGG